This is an RNA transcript of Malania oleifera, 1329 nucleotides long. RefSeq lists it as uncharacterized. The record is from RefSeq and is a predicted model, not a curated record. Lineage: Eukaryota; Viridiplantae; Streptophyta; Magnoliopsida; Santalales; Ximeniaceae. The transcript is spliced from 9 exons.
UCAGCCCCAGCUAUGAGCUGAGGAAGUACCGUGAACCUUUUUCACGGGUUAGCGUUUCACGCUGCUCUCUCUCUCUCUCUCAAAACGGAGUACAUGGCUUGUGCAGUGGGAGGAGGAGGAAGCAUGUGUCGGUCGUCGUUCCACAAACACUUCUCUUCUCAACCUCAAGUCCUUCUCCCCAGAACUGAAACUGGAGGCAUUUAUGUGAUAGUGGCGAUGAAGGUGCCUGGAAGAGAAGGAUUCUCUGCUUUUCCAAACUUAAGCAGGAGGAGAAUUAGUAUCAAGCUACAGAAAGCAAAUACAGCAGAUAAUUAUGUGAAGAAAGCUAGUUUGUUUGCAAGUAAGAAGGAAAGAAUUAAGCUGCAGAAUUAUGCUGACGUUUCUGGGGGCAAGGCACAUCACAUAAGUGAAUUCCUUACUCACCAAUCUGGAGUUGAAACAGUCUUGAACAAAAGCGCCUUGCAAAAUUUUCAAACCCUUGAUUCAAAUAUAUACAGGUGCACCUUGCCAAAAAUUCAUUUUCUAAACUUUGAAGUGGCUCCCAUCCUGGACUUACGUGUAACCCCAACAAGUGAAGAUUGUACAAUCGAAAUGUUAUCUUGCAAGUUUGAGGGUUCUGACAUCUUGGAGCGCCAAAAUAGCCAUUUUUCAGCAUCGAUGAAAAACCACAUUACAUGGGACACUAAUGAGUCUGAGCCAUUUUUGGAUGUCGACGUGAAGUUGAAUCUCACUCUUGAGAUUUACACACUGCCAUUAGCCCUGCUGCCUACCUCUGCUGUUGAGGGCCCAGGAAAUUUUUGUUUAUAGCCAGAAGCACUACAUAAACCAAUUCAAGCAAUUAGAAGUGUGGUGGCAUACAGAAUGAUGCAAGCUCUAGUGGAUCGGCUCGUACCCUUGCUUCUACAACAGUUAUCGCAAGAUUAUGACAAAUGGGUUCAACAGCAAUUGUUGAUGUCUUCCGUACAUUCGAGUCCCCUCAUAUUUUGAUGCAACACAAAACAAAAUAAAUAUAUUAGAAGGUGAGAGCGCUACCAAUCAAUCUUUCUACCUUGAUGUUUGUUUGAGAUUGCAGGACUUCUUUGCUUGAGCAGUGGAUAUUUUGGUAAGACUUGGAAACCCCUUAGCGUAUUGAGAAGCUUAGAGGUGGGAGCUGACGUGCAAAUAUGAUGUUUCUUGUUAUUGGUGUUUUAUUUUAUCAAACUACAUGGUUAAAUAGUAAUUAAAAUUUGUGAUUAUCAAGUGUUGAUAAUGUACAUUAUUUUCCGAGUGAAUUAAGCUUGAUAAAUAUAGAUGCAAUGAAUUGAAAAUUGGAAAUUGAAUUUCCAACUA